This 923-nucleotide ribosomal RNA is filed under the name uncultured bacterium. RNAcentral's name for it is "bacterial SSU rRNA". It matches the Rfam family "Bacterial small subunit ribosomal RNA", at positions 69 to 986 of the family's 1533-position model. The record is from RNAcentral.
GCAGCACGGAGCUUGCUCUGGUGGCGAGUGGCGAACGGGUGAGUAAUGCGUCGGAACGUAUCCNAUAAUGGGGGAUAACGCAGCGAAAGCUGUGCUAAUACCGCAUACGCCCUCCGGGGGAAAGCAGGGGAUCGUAAGACCUUGCGUUAAUGGAGCGGCCGACGUCUGAUUAGCUAGUUGGUAGGGUAAAGGCCUACCAAGGCGACGAUCAGUAGCUGGUCUGAGAGGAUGAUCAGCCACACUGGGACUGAGACACGGCCCAGACUCCUACGGGAGGCAGCAGUGGGGAAUUUUGGACAAUGGGCGCAAGCCUGAUCCAGCCAUUCCGCGUGAGUGAAGAAGGCCUUCGGGUUGUAAAGCUCUUUCAGGAGGGAAGAAACGAUUGUGGCUAAUACCCAUGAUUAAUGACGGUACCUUCAGAAGAAGCACCGGCUAACUACGUGCCAGCAGCCGCGGUAAUACGUAGGGUGCGAGCGUUAGUCGGAAUUACUGGGCGUAAAGCGUGCGCAGGCGGUUUUUCAAGUCUGAUGUGAAAUCCCCGGGCUUAACCUGGGAACUGCGUUGGAAACUGAAAGACUAGAGUGCGGCAGAGGGGGGUAGAAUUCCACGUGUAGCAGUGAAAUGCGUAGAUAUGUGGAGGAAUACCGAUGGCGAAGGCAGCCCCCUGGGUCGACACUGACGCUCAUGCACGAAAGCGUGGGUAGCAAACAGGAUUAGAUACCCUGGUAGUCCACGCCCUAAACGAUGUCAACUAGUUGUUGGGGAGGGAGACCUCCUUAGUAACGCAGCUAACGCGUGAAGUUGACCGCCUGGGGAGUACGGUCGCAAGAUUAAAACUCAAAGGAAUUGACGGGGGCCCGCACAAGCGGUGGAUUAUGUGGAUUNAUUCGAUGCAACGCGAAAAACCUUACCUACCCUUGACA